GCCGUGGCCUACUGGUUAGCGCUUCUGUCUUGAAACCGGAGGGUUGCCGGUUCGAACCCCGACCAGUAGGCA
This 72-nucleotide transfer RNA is filed under the name Alosa alosa (allis shad). RNAcentral's name for it is "tRNA-OTHER". The record is from RNAcentral. Lineage: Eukaryota; Metazoa; Chordata; Actinopteri; Clupeiformes; Clupeidae.